CACCUGUUUAUCAAAAACAUGGUUUUAUGAUUAUAUUUUAAGAUUUAUUCUGCUCAAUGAUAAUAUAUAAAUUAUUAAAUAGCCGCAGUAUUUUGACUGUGCAAAGGUAGCAUAAUCAAUUGUCUUUUAAUUAAAGACUGGAAUGAAGGAAUGAAUGAAAUUUAAACUGUCUAUGAUAAAAAAUUAAAAUUUAAAUUUUAAGUUAAAAUGCUUAAAUGGAAUUAUGGGACGAGAAGACCCUAUAGAAUUUUAUAUAAAUUUUUAAAUUAUUAAAUGAGUAAAAAGAUUAAAUUUAAAAUUAUAUUUUAUUGGGAGGAUAAUUAAAUUAAUUUAACUUUAUUAAUUAAUAUUAAAUAUAUAUAUAUAUAUAUAUAUAUAUAUAUAUAUAUAUAUAUAUAUAUAUAUAUAUAUAAACAUUAAUUUAUGAAAUAAAUGAAUAAAUUUUUUAUUGAAUUUAUAUAAGAAUUAAUUACCUUAGGGAUAACAGCGUUAUAUUUUUUAAAAGAUCAUAUUAAGAAAAAUGUUUGCGACCUCGAUGUUGAAUUAAAGUAAAAAUUAAAUGAAGAAGUUUAAUAUUUUAGUCUGUUCGACUAUUAAAAUUUUACAUGAUUUGAGUUCAAAUCGACG
Molecule: ribosomal RNA, 627 nt
Filed under: Formica selysi
Lineage: Eukaryota; Metazoa; Arthropoda; Insecta; Hymenoptera; Formicidae
Description: partial 16S ribosmal RNA
Rfam family: Archaeal large subunit ribosomal RNA (bases 480-627)
Source: RNAcentral